AUUGCAUAAUGCAGUAGCCACUGGAUUUGCAGCAGAAACACUCUGCUACAGAACAAGUGUCUUGGUUCACAGCAAAGAGGACAAAGAAAACAGCAAGUUUUAGGGGGUUGAAUCCUGGAUUCCCCUGGCAAACACCAUUCUACUUUCCGUCUCUAUGAAUUUGACUACUCGAAGUACCUCAUGUGAAAUGUUGGUGCCAAAUGAACUUUUCUGGUUCUUCUGAAUAUGCCACUGUUGCUGGAGAAAUGUCACUGCUAGAGAACAGAAGACUAUUAUUCCAAAGGGUAUUUGAGACUGACUGAAUCAGGUCUGGAACAUUAUUGAAAUGGUGGUGACCAGAUGGAUAUAAACGGGCUGUGGAAAAAGAGAAUGCAUGGCCAAAAAUGGUGGUGCUCUCUGUCCAAAAACUGAGGCCCUAUGACCAUGAAUGAAGCCAGAGGGCAGGUAGGAAUAGCACAAAUCUUCUCUAGAAUACAGAAAUAUUCUAGAGAUCACUGACGCAUUUGAGGGAAAUUGAAAACAAAACGAAACAGAACAAACAGAAG
Molecule: long non-coding RNA, 545 nt
Filed under: Homo sapiens (human)
Lineage: Eukaryota; Metazoa; Chordata; Mammalia; Primates; Hominidae
Description: PREDICTED lncRNA (TCONS_00233959)
Source: RNAcentral